This 219-nucleotide ribosomal RNA is filed under the name uncultured bacterium. Its description in RNAcentral is "partial 16S ribosomal RNA". It matches the Rfam family "Bacterial small subunit ribosomal RNA", at positions 120 to 334 of the family's 1533-position model. The record is from RNAcentral.
AGUAACCUGCCUUGGAGGUGGGGGAAGUAACACAGUGAAAAUUAGUGCUAAUACCGCAUAAUGCAUUUGGAUCGCAUGGUUCUGAAUGCCAAAGAUUUAUCGCUCUGAGAUGGACUCGCGUCUGAUUAGCUAGUUGGCGGGGCAACGGCCCACCAAGGCGACGAUCAGUAGCCGGACUGAGAGGUUGAACGGCCACAUUGGGACUGAGACACGGCCCAG